This 2923-nucleotide ribosomal RNA is filed under the name Klebsiella pneumoniae. RNAcentral describes it as "23S ribosomal RNA". It matches the Rfam family "Bacterial large subunit ribosomal RNA". The record is from RNAcentral. Lineage: Bacteria; Pseudomonadati; Pseudomonadota; Gammaproteobacteria; Enterobacterales; Enterobacteriaceae.
GGGUUGUGAGGUUAAGCGACUAAGCGUACACGGUGGAUGCCCUGGCAGUCAGAGGCGAUGAAGGACGUGCUAAUCUGCGAAAAGCGUCGGUAAGGUGAUAUGAACCGUUAUAACCGGCGAUGUCCGAAUGGGGAAACCCAGUGCAAUUCGUUGCACUAUCGUUAACUGAAUACAUAGGUUAACGAGGCGAACCGGGGGAACUGAAACAUCUAAGUACCCCGAGGAAAAGAAAUCAACCGAGAUUCCCCCAGUAGCGGCGAGCGAACGGGGAGCAGCCCAGAGUCUGAAUCAGCUUGUGUGUUAGUGGAACGGUCUGGAAAGUCCGACGGUACAGGGUGAUAGUCCCGUACACCAAAAUGCACAGGCUGUGAACUCGAAGAGUAGGGCGGGACACGUGGUAUCCUGUCUGAAUAUGGGGGGACCAUCCUCCAAGGCUAAAUACUCCUGACUGACCGAUAGUGAACCAGUACCGUGAGGGAAAGGCGAAAAGAACCCCGGCGAGGGGAGUGAAAAAGAACCUGAAACCGUGUACGUACAAGCAGUGGGAGCACCUUCGGGUGUGACUGCGUACCUUUUGUAUAAUGGGUCAGCGACUUAUAUUCUGUAGCAAGGUUAACCGUAUAGGGGAGCCGCAGGGAAACCGAGUCUUAACUGGGCGUUAAGUUGCAGGGUAUAGACCCGAAACCCGGUGAUCUAGCCAUGGGCAGGUUGAAGGUUGGGUAACACUAACUGGAGGACCGAACCGACUAAUGUUGAAAAAUUAGCGGAUGACUUGUGGCUGGGGGUGAAAGGCCAAUCAAACCGGGAGAUAGCUGGUUCUCCCCGAAAGCUAUUUAGGUAGCGCCUCGUGAACUCAUCUUCGGGGGUAGAGCACUGUUUCGGCUAGGGGGUCAUCCCGACUUACCAACCCGAUGCAAACUACGAAUACCGAAGAAUGUUAUCACGGGAGACACACGGCGGGUGCUAACGUCCGUCGUGAAGAGGGAAACAACCCAGACCGCCAGCUAAGGUCCCAAAGUCAUGGUUAAGUGGGAAACGAUGUGGGAAGGCACAGACAGCCAGGAUGUUGGCUUAGAAGCAGCCAUCAUUUAAAGAAAGCGUAAUAGCUCACUGGUCGAGUCGGCCUGCGCGGAAGAUGUAACGGGGCUAAACCAUGCACCGAAGCUGCGGCAGCGACACUAUGUGUUGUUGGGUAGGGGAGCGUUCUGUAAGCCUGCGAAGGUGACCUGUGAGGGUUGCUGGAGGUAUCAGAAGUGCGAAUGCUGACAUAAGUAACGAUAAAGCGGGUGAAAAGCCCGCUCGCCGGAAGACCAAGGGUUCCUGUCCAACGUUAAUCGGGGCAGGGUGAGUCGACCCCUAAGGCGAGGCCGAAAGGCGUAGUCGAUGGGAAACAGGUUAAUAUUCCUGUACUUGGUGUUACUGCGAAGGGGGGACGGAGAAGGCUAUGUUAGCCGGGCGACGGUUGUCCCGGUUUAAGCAUGUAGGCUGAUUGUCCAGGCAAAUCCGGAUAAUCAAGGCUGAGGUGUGAUGACGAGGCACUACGGUGCUGAAGUAACAAAUGCCCUGCUUCCAGGAAAAGCCUCUAAGCAUCAGGUAACAUUAAAUCGUACCCCAAACCGACACAGGUGGUCAGGUAGAGAAUACCAAGGCGCUUGAGAGAACUCGGGUGAAGGAACUAGGCAAAAUGGUGCCGUAACUUCGGGAGAAGGCACGCUGGUGUGUAGGUGAAGCCCCUGCGGGUGGAGCUGAGACCAGUCGAAGAUACCAGCUGGCUGCAACUGUUUAUUAAAAACACAGCACUGUGCAAACACGAAAGUGGACGUAUACGGUGUGACGCCUGCCCGGUGCCGGAAGGUUAAUUGAUGGGGUUAUCCGUAAGGAGAAGCUCUUGAUCGAAGCCCCGGUAAACGGCGGCCGUAACUAUAACGGUCCUAAGGUAGCGAAAUUCCUUGUCGGGUAAGUUCCGACCUGCACGAAUGGCGUAAUGAUGGCCAGGCUGUCUCCACCCGAGACUCAGUGAAAUUGAACUCGCUGUGAAGAUGCAGUGUACCCGCGGCAAGACGGAAAGACCCCGUGAACCUUUACUAUAGCUUGACACUGAACAUUGAGCCUUGAUGUGUAGGAUAGGUGGGAGGCUUUGAAGCGUGGACGCCAGUCUGCGUGGAGCCAACCUUGAAAUACCACCCUUUAAUGUUUGAUGUUCUAACGUUGGCCCCUGACCGGGGUUGCGGACAGUGUCUGGUGGGUAGUUUGACUGGGGCGGUCUCCUCCCAAAGCGUAACGGAGGAGCACGAAGGUUAGCUAAUCCUGGUCGGACAUCAGGAGGUUAGUGCAAUGGCAUAAGCUAGCUUGACUGCGAGCGUGACGGCGCGAGCAGGUGCGAAAGCAGGUCAUAGUGAUCCGGUGGUUCUGAAUGGAAGGGCCAUCGCUCAACGGAUAAAAGGUACUCCGGGGAUAACAGGCUGAUACCGCCCAAGAGUUCAUAUCGACGGCGGUGUUUGGCACCUCGAUGUCGGCUCAUCACAUCCUGGGGCUGAAGUAGGUCCCAAGGGUAUGGCUGUUCGCCAUUUAAAGUGGUACGCGAGCUGGGUUUAGAACGUCGUGAGACAGUUCGGUCCCUAUCUGCCGUGGGCGCUGGAGAAUUGAGGGGGGCUGCUCCUAGUACGAGAGGACCGGAGUGGACGCAUCACUGGUGUUCGGGUUGUCAUGCCAAUGGCACUGCCCGGUAGCUAAAUGCGGAAGAGAUAAGUGCUGAAAGCAUCUAAGCACGAAACUUGCCCCGAGAUGAGUUCUCCCUGAGACUUUAAGUCUCCUGAAGGAACGUUAAAGACGAUGACGUUGAUAGGCCGGGUGUGUAAGCGCAGCGAUGCGUUGAGCUAACCGGUACUAAUGAACCGUGAGGCUUAACCUUACAACGCCGAAG